UCUGGGAGACCUGAAUUAAUUAGGGAGAAAUCCGAGAAGACCAGCCUAAAUCUCAAAGAUAAAGGCUGAGGAAGCAAAAGGCAGAAGUAAAUUGACCACCACCCAGGUGUGGUCCAGGUGUGUCGGUUCCACGUGCAUCAGCCGGGGUCAGCAGAGGUCAUGCAGUGGAGACUCGGGUGUUUACUACUUGGUCUUUUCUUCCUGUGCCGUAAAUACGUGGGGGAGGCCUCUGUCCAACAAUCCCAUGACUUCUUAACUGUGGCCAUGCAGUUACAAAGCGGCCAGGCCCAAAUCCAAUAUGGCUCACUACACUUACUUUUCAGUGCAGAUCUCUCUCAGGAAUUCCACUUACCCGCUUUCCUAAAUCCUUUUCUAGAAUGCACAUUCUAGAAAUGCAUGUUAAACGAGAGCAGAGAGCAGCAGGGUUUUCUUUUGAUUGAGUUUCUUUUUUCUUCCCUGCUCAACCUCCCAAUGCUGGAGAGUGAACUGAAGCCUUUUCAUUUGCCUUCUUAUCAUCUCUGUCUUAGUAUGUUCUGAUAUCUAGAGUGUUGCUUUAUAAGUUAAGAUGCACAAGAGAAGUUGAGUCAGAUUGUAUCAUGUCUCUAAGCACCUGGGACCAGCUC
RNAcentral lists this long non-coding RNA (623 nucleotides) under Rattus norvegicus (Norway rat). Its description in RNAcentral is "long non-coding RNA NONRATT023410". The record is from RNAcentral. Lineage: Eukaryota; Metazoa; Chordata; Mammalia; Rodentia; Muridae.